GGGAUGCUUGGCAAUUCUAAUUCUACGCCAGACUGCAAAUGGACACAAAACUGUUGCGACUUUUGUUGAAGAGGAGAAGGAUGGUGAAGGUCUCUUUAGUAAAUAAUCUCUGCUGAAAUUGCUUCGGGCAGCACAGAAGCUGGAUUCAGAAGCACACAGGUCUGGGGAUGCAGGCUUCGGCCACCCUGAUGCGAGGAAAGACUGCCAUCUCGUGGUCAGCUCGAUCCUGGCACCUUGGCUGUUUCCCAUAUAAGGUUCAUGACCCCCAGGGAGGAUGAAACUGCCUGCCAGGUUUGUCUUCUCUCCUGUUCACUGGUUACUCAGCCAGGCGGAUUCACGGGCUUCUCAAAGGAACUUGUUUAUCAGAAGCUUGUCUAAGACACUACGUCUUCCAGAAAAUCUCACCUGAGUCACCAACAGAUUCCUCUAAGAAUCUGUAAGCCGCUCCCGACCAGCAGGAAACCCCAACAGAGGCAAAGAAUAGCAAAGUGAAUAUUUUGUCAAGAAAAAAUGAGAGACUGGGCGCGGUGGCUCAUGCCUAUAAUCCCAGCACUUUGGGAGGCCUAAGUGGGCUGAUCAUUUGAGGUCAGGAGUUUGAGACAACCUGGUCAACAGGGUGAAACCCUGUCUCUACUAAAAAUACAAAAACAAUUAGCUGGGCGUAGUGGUGGGUGCCUGUAGUCCCAGCUACUGGGGGAGGCUGUGGCAGGAGAAUCGCUGAAACCCGGAAGACGGAAGUUGCAGUGAGCUGAGACCGCACCACUGCACUCCAGCCUGGGUGACGGAGUGAGACUGUCUCAGAAAAAAAUAAACACACAAAAAAGCAAGAAAGCGCCCCAUUUAGAUCACUCAGACAAAAGAUUUUAUUUGUGCCAAAAUGUUCCACAAGGCUUCCAGUUUUCACCACAUAACUUGACAGUCAUGCAAGACUUAAGUAUAUUUUCAGCUAUCCUUUCUCUUUCAUUUAUUUCUGUUUAAUAAGCUCUCAGUCCGUUGAUUCUAGUUAGUACAUUAUGUAUCUUUUUAAUCACUUACCUUCAGUGAGCAUCUUUCCAUGUUGGUAAACACCAGUGCUACUACUAUUACUAUAUGACACUUACUGAGUACUUAACUCUACGUCAAAUCCUCUGCCAAGCAUUUUCAAGCAUUGUCUCAUUGCCUUCUUGCCACAACCCUAUGAAGAUGCCGUGAUUGUCCUCAUCCAAUGGAGGAGGAAGCUGAGGCUGAGAGCAAUUAACACAGCUGUGAGUGAACAGGUAGGAUUUAAAGCCAGGCAGUAUGAUUCUGGAGCCUACGCUUUUAAUCACUGUUAUUUUACUCUCCUCCAUUCCCCAAAUAUACUGCAUUCUUUUUCUGUGAUUGUAUUGUAUUAUUCUGUUUUAGAUGUACUAUGAUUGAUUUCACCAAUGCUGUGAUUACACUUCAGUUGGUUUUAGUUUUCACUACUACAAACAGUGUUGCAACGAAUGUCUCUGUGGGCAAAUCUUUACAGGUCACGAAUGACCCUUUCCUUAGGACACAUAUUGCCAACCUGAUCUCCAGAAAGGUAGUACAUGCCCAUCAUAUUGUACGAAAGUACCCUUUGCCCUCCACCCUUGACACUGGGUUGCGUCCCUUUUUAAAGUAUUGCUGUUACGAUAGAAGAAAAAGGCUGUCACAUUGUUAUUUCAGUUUGUAAGCUAGAACACUUCAUUGCACAUUAGCUGUAUUCCUCAGGUGUAUUUCCUGUUCAUGUCCUUUGCCCUCUGAGGUUUGUCUCUUUAUCACAGAUUUGAGAAUUUUUUGUAUAUGUCUUAUAUUUUUAGAAUUAAUAAAUUUAGGGCAUAAAUCUAAUAGAAAG
This is a long non-coding RNA of Macaca fascicularis (crab-eating macaque), 1840 nucleotides long. The record is from Ensembl. NCBI's taxonomy places the organism in Eukaryota, Metazoa, Chordata, Mammalia, Primates, Cercopithecidae.